UACGUAGGCAGCGAGCGUUGUUCGGAGUUACUGGGCGUAAAGGGUGCGUAGGCGGUCGGGUAAGUCUGACGUGAAAUCUCCAAGCUCAACUUGGAAAUGGCGUCGGAUACUAUUCGGCUCGAGGAAUGGAGGGGAGACUGGAAUUCUCGGUGUAGCAGUGAAAUGCGUAGAUAUCGAGAGGAACACCAGUGGCGAAGGCGAGUCUCUGGACAUUUCCUGACGCUGAGGCACGAAAGCCAGGGGAGCAAACGGG
RNAcentral lists this ribosomal RNA (253 nucleotides) under uncultured bacterium. RNAcentral describes it as "partial 16S ribosomal RNA". It matches the Rfam family "Bacterial small subunit ribosomal RNA", at positions 524 to 776 of the family's 1533-position model. The record is from RNAcentral.